GGGCGGUUUCUGGUAAUUUUUUGCACGUAUUAGUAUAAAUUUUCACUACCUGGAGGGGCCGAGCGGUCUAGAAAUACAGUAGUAGUGUUUGAAAUGAAGAAAAACAAAGAAAACUAUAUAACAAAUAUAUACCGCUGUUCAGGGACGCCGGAACUGGGGAGGAGGGCAGGAGGGGCAGCCGCGCCCGUUGCCCUUUACCAGGAGGGGCAAGGGGGGCAGAGGUGCCCUUUCAAUUUAAAUUAUUGGCUUCGCGAAAUAGCGAAUAUUCAGAAAUGUCAGUGCGAUUCUUCAUGUACAAAUUUGCUGCAGAAAACGCAAGAAAUGCAGUCAUCGAGCUUCAAGAAUAGCACAAUCGCCUGGCGGAGAACCUCCUCACACCCCUAUCAUCCAAUAAAUAGAAAACAUGAUUAGGCGAAGUUCAAUUCCCGAUGUAUCAUGUUUUGGAAACAUCUCCUAGUAUAUAUCAAUUUAAAAGCGCCCUUUUACUAAAAUCUGCCCCCCUUGCCUUCACCUCGUUCCGGCGUCCCUGCCGCUGUUGGCGCUUGAAUACUUCAAAUAUAAAUCAUCGUGCCUGUAGAUUUAACCUGAAGUUCAGGCCCUAAGAUUUUGAUUGGUUGCAAGUUCACAUAAACAACAGUUUUAAAAAUAGUUCGGUCAAGGGCUUAAUCUCUCUCCUCCGCAGAGCCUUCUUAAGUAUUUACAAAUAACUUACAUGAAGUUUCCUGAAUAAAAGUGAGCGCGCGCGGUGUGAUGGGAAGAUUCCUUUUGCGCUCACUUUUCCCUCACUAGAAACUUCAUGUAAGCCUCUGCGGAGGAGGGAUAGGGCUCAAUAUAAAUAUAAAGGUCAAACGCACGUACAAAUCCAUAAUUAUCCAUUAUCGAUUUCUUCGAAUUUCUUUUCUUUUAAUAUGCUU
This is a non-coding RNA of Paramuricea clavata, 914 nucleotides long. The record is from the annotation of a GenBank genome assembly. Lineage: Eukaryota; Metazoa; Cnidaria; Anthozoa; Malacalcyonacea; Plexauridae.